UCGGAUUGUAAACUCCUGUGGUUGAGGAAGAUAAUGACGGUACUCAACAAGGAAGUAACGGCUAACUACGUGCCAGCAGCCGCGGUAAAACGUAGAGUCACAAGCGUUGUCCGGAAUUAUUGGGUGUAAAGGGAGCGCAGGCGGGAAGACAAGUUGGAAGUGAAAUCCAUGGGCUCAACCCAUGAACUGCUUUCAAAACUGUUUUUCUUGAGUAGUGCAGAGGUAGGCGGAAUUCCCGGUGUAGCGGUGGAAUGCGUAGAUAUCGGGAGGAACACCAGUGGCGAAGGCGGCCUACUGGGCACCAACUGACGCUGAGGCUCGAAAGUGUGGGUAGCAAACAGGAUUAGAUACCCUGGUAGUCCACACUGUAAACGAUGAUUACUAGGUGUUGGAGGAUUGACCCCUUCAGUGCCGCAGUUAACACAAUAAGUAAUCCACCUGGGGAGUACGACCGCAAGGUUGAAACUCAAAGGAAUUGACGGGGGCCCGCACAAGCAGUGGAGUAUGUGGUUUAAUUCGACGCAACGCGAAGAACCUUACCAAGUCUUGACAUCCUGCGACGGACAUAGAAAUAUGUUUUUCCUUCGGGACGCAGAGACAGGUGGUGCAUGGUUGUCGUCAGCUCGUGUCGUGAGAUGUUGGGUUAAGUCCCGCAACGAGCGCAACCCUUAUGGUCAGUUACUACGCAAGAGGACUCUGGCCAGACUGCCGUUGACAAAACGGAGGAAGGUGGGGAUGACGUCAAAUCAUCAUGCCCUUUAUGACUUGGGCUACACACGUACUACAAUGGCGUUAAACAAAGAGAAGCAAGACCGCGAGGUGGAGCAAAACUCAGAAACAACGUCCCAGUUCGGACUGCAGGCUGCAACUCGCCUGCACGAAGUCGGAAUUGCUAGUAAUCGCAGAUCAGCAUGCUGCGGUGAAUACGUUCCCGGGCCUUGUACACACCGCCCGUCAA
Molecule: ribosomal RNA, 958 nt
Filed under: uncultured bacterium
Lineage: Bacteria
Description: bacterial SSU rRNA
Rfam family: Bacterial small subunit ribosomal RNA
Source: RNAcentral